ACACAAAACUCUCUCCAUCAUGUUGACUCUCAGUUACUGGUUCUGAACUGAUCAUGUGGACACGACGCAGGUCUCCUGAAACAUUAUAUAUUAUUUGUUACUAUGCUGUGGAUAAAUCAGGAGUUUAUACUCCUUCUUCUUGUUCUCUUCCAGCUCCAGUCACAGUACUGAGGAAGCAGAAGAGUGAGAGGUUAGAAAUGUAUAGUGGAUUCUUUUUUAACAGACAUAAACUGAACAUAAGUCGCUGUGAUCACGCAGACAGUGAUGAGGUUUACACAGAGGUGAUGUACACAUUCUCCCCUCAGCAGCUUUAAGAUGAAACCCAGCUGGUUUCAGCUUCCUCUGAAUGAUGGACACUGAACAGGAGAAAUGAUCUCUAUAAUUAAUCUGAUUAUUAUUGACUGCUCAUCACUGUCCCACUUUUAAUAAACACUCCAUAUCAUGUAAAUCUCCAGUGAGUGUAAUCAUGAUUAUGUUAUCAUAAGAAAAUUUGCAGUGUGAAUCAUUUCACUGUUCUAUUUUACCAUUUCAUGCUUUAUUGUUAUUAUUAUUAGAGGUUAUCACCAUAGAGGAGCAAGUGGACGGUCCUUACACUCCAAUACUAUCUGUUGGAACUGGCCUUCACUCUCUGUUUGGACCGUGCCCUGUUCCAAUUGCUCCAUCACAUGAAAUAUACUAAUGUACGGAUCACUCUGUGGAAUCUGGCACUUCUGCCAUUAAAAUUUGAGGUGGUCCACAGACCAGGGGUACAGAUGGCCGUGGCAAGUUUCCUCUCACGCCGGGUGGGAGGGGGAGUCAUUUGCAGGCCGGAUGGUGGUGGGGGUAUGUGGCAUAUCUAUGUGGAAUACCUAUGUGGCAUGUGUGGAGUACCA
Molecule: long non-coding RNA, 872 nt
Organism: Silurus meridionalis
Lineage: Eukaryota; Metazoa; Chordata; Actinopteri; Siluriformes; Siluridae
Exons: 3
Source: RefSeq, a predicted model, not a curated record